AGCAGCCGCGGUAAUUCCAGCUCCAAUAGCGUAUAUUAAAGUUGUUGCAGUUAAAAAGCUCGUAGUUGAAUUUCGGGGUCAGUAGGUUGGUCAUGCCACUGGUAUGUACUGGUCUCACUGAUUCCUCCUUCCUGAUGAACUGUAAUGCCAUUAAUUUGGUGUUGCAGGGAAUCUGGACUGUUACUUUGAAAAAUUAGAGUGUUUAAAGCAGGCUAACGCCUGAAUACAUUAGCAUGGAAUAAUGAAAUAGGACGUUCGAUCCUAUUUUGUUGGUUUCUAGGAUUGACGUAAUGAUUAAUAGGGAUAGUUGGGGGCAUUAGUAUUCAAUUGUCAGAGGUGAAAUUCUUGGAUUUAUUGAAGACUAACUACUGCGAAAGCAUUUGCCAAGGAUGUUUUCAUUAAUCAAGAACGAAAGUUAGGGGAUCGAAGACGAUCAGAUACCGUCGUAGUCUUAACCAUAAACUAUGCCGACUAGGGAUCGGAUGAUGUUAAUUUUUAAUGACUC
Molecule: ribosomal RNA, 505 nt
Filed under: uncultured Glomus
Lineage: Eukaryota; Fungi; Glomeromycota; Glomeromycetes; Glomerales; Glomeraceae
Description: SSU rRNA
Rfam family: Eukaryotic small subunit ribosomal RNA
Source: RNAcentral